UGGGGAAUAUUGCACAAUGGGGGAAACCCUGAUGCAGCAACGCCGCGUGGGUGAUGACGGCCUUCGGGUUGUAAAGCUCUGUCUUCAGGGACGAUAAUGACGGUACCUGAGGAGGAAGCCACGGCUAACUACGUGCCAGCAGCCGCGGUAAUACGUAGGUGGCAAGCGUUGUCCGGAUUUACUGGGCGUAAAGGGAGCGUAGGCGGACUUUUAAGUGAGAUGUGAAAUACCCGGGCUCAACCUGGGUGCUGCAUUUCAAACUGGAAGUCUAGAGUACGGUAGAGGGUGGUGGAAUUUCCUGUGUAGCGGUGAAAUGCGUAGAUAUAGGAAGGAACACCAGUGGCGAAGGCGACCACCUGGACUGAUACUGACGCUGAGGCGCGAAAGCGUGGGGAGCAAACA
Molecule: ribosomal RNA, 402 nt
Filed under: uncultured bacterium
Lineage: Bacteria
Description: bacterial SSU rRNA
Rfam family: Bacterial small subunit ribosomal RNA
Source: RNAcentral